Molecule: ribosomal RNA, 498 nt
Filed under: uncultured bacterium
Lineage: Bacteria
Description: partial 16S ribosomal RNA
Rfam family: Bacterial small subunit ribosomal RNA
Source: RNAcentral
GACGAACGCUGGCGGCGUGCCUAAUACAUGCAAGUCGAACGAGAGCGACCGGUGCUUGCACUGGUCAAUCUAGUGGCGAACGGGUGAGUAACACGUGGGUAACCUGCCCAUCAGAGGGGGAUAACAUCCGGAAACGGAUGCUAAAACCGCAUAGGUCUUCGAGCCGCAUGGCUUGAAGAGGAAAAGAGGCGCAAGCUUCUGCUGAUGGAUGGACCCGCGGUGCAUUAGCUAGAUGGUGAGGUAACGGCUCACCAAGGCCGUGAUGCAUAGCCGACCUGAGAGGGUGAUCGGCCACAUUGGGACUGAGACACGGCCCAAACUCCUACGGGAGGCAGCAGUAGGGAAUCUUCCGCAAUGGACGCAAGUCUGACGGAGCAACGCCGCGUGAGUGAAGAAGGUUUUCGGAUCGUAAAACUCUGUUGUUAGAGAAGAACAAGUGCUAGAGUAACUGUUAGCGCCUUGACGGUAUCUAACCAGAAAGCCACGGCUAACUACGUG